This 468-nucleotide ribosomal RNA is filed under the name uncultured bacterium. RNAcentral's name for it is "partial 16S ribosomal RNA". It matches the Rfam family "Bacterial small subunit ribosomal RNA", at positions 28 to 507 of the family's 1533-position model. The record is from RNAcentral.
GACGAACGCUGGCGGCGUGCUUAACACAUGCAAGUCGAACGGAAAGGCCCUGCUUUUGUGGGGUGCUCGAGUGGCGAACGGGUGAGUAACACGUGAGUAACCUGCCCUUGACUUUGGGAUAACUUCAGGAAACUGGGGCUAAUACAGGAUAGGAGCUCCUGCUGCAUGGUGGGGGUUGGAAAGUUUCGGCGGUUGGGGAUGGACUCGCGGCUUAUCAGCUUGUUGGUGGGGUAGUGGCUUACCAAGGCUUUGACGGGUAGCCGGCCUGAGAGGGUGACCGGCCACAUUGGGACUGAGAGACGGCCCAGACUCCUACGGGAGGCAGCAGUGGGGAAUAUUGCACAAUGGGCGGAAGCCUGAUGCAGCAACGCCGCGUGCGGGAUGACGGCCUUCGGGUUGUAAACCGCUUUCGCCUGUGACGAAGCGUGAGUGACGGUAAUGGGUAAAGAAGCACCGGCUAACUACGUG